RNAcentral lists this long non-coding RNA (683 nucleotides) under Olea europaea subsp. europaea. Lineage: Eukaryota; Viridiplantae; Streptophyta; Magnoliopsida; Lamiales; Oleaceae. The record is from RNAcentral.
CUAGAAUCAAGAUAAAAAGAGUAAUAGAUCUAUACAAGUGUCUGAAAAUAAAUGUCAAAAUAUAAUCAAUCCAGAGAAUGUGUAACAAUAGAAGCAAGUCCAUGGGCCAUCAUAUUGCCUAGUCUAGGUACAAAGCAACACGAACCACAACUUACAUCAAGUAACAAAGCUACAAUAAAGAAAAUGAUCGUAACGAGGAGAACUUAAAUUAGAUGACAAACUUGCACUACUCGGGACGAAUCACACUCAGCAACCACCUCAUUCGAUCGAUUUCAGAUCCCAGCACCAGCAACCACAUACCAGCACCUACAUGGCUUGAGCCUAUAAUCACCCCUGCAUUGGUAUUCAGUUUCGAUGUCCUGGCAACCGGAGGCAACCAUUGAACCACAACUGGCUGGGGGUUCCUUCCUGUCUAUGAGUUGGGAGACGCCAUAGUAGCAACAAACUCACAACACAACUCAUGAGCAAGCGUCCCUGCACCUCGUCCUUAUGGACCAUCUGACUGCGGUCUCCCCACAUCAUCUAGACGAUCCCUGCAACCAAUUCGGUCGAUACCUUUAAUUCUUAGCCAAGGAAAGCAGAAAUAAUGUCGGUCCAACUGAGUUUGCUAAGGUGUUUAAAAACUUCCCACUAGGUCGUGGCUUUUCAUAUUGCCUUGCCACUCUUUACACAUAAGAAAGCAC